AGUGAACGCUGGCGGUAGGCCUAACACAUGCAAGUCGAACGGCAGCACAGUAAGAGCUUGCUCUUACGGGUGGCGAGUGGCGGACGGGUGAGGAAUACAUCGGAAUCUACUUUUUCGUGGGGGAUAACGUAGGGAAACUUACGCUAAUACCGCAUACGACCUACGGGUGAAAGCAGGGGAUCUUCGGACCUUGCGCGAUUGAAUGCGCCGAUGUCGGAUUAGCUAGUUGGCGGGGUAAAGGCCCACCAAGGCGACGAUCCGUAGCUGGUCUGAGAGGAUGAUAAGCCACACUGGAAGUGGGACACGGACCAGACGACUACGGGAGGCAGCAGAGGGGAAAAUUGGACAAUGGGAGCAAGCCUGGUCCAGCCAUACCGCGUGGGAGAAGGAGGCCUUCGGGUUGGAAAGCCCUUUUGUUGGGAAAGAAAAGCAGCAGGUUAAUACCCCGCUGUUCUGACGGUACCCAAAAAAUAAGCACCGGCUAACUUCGUG
Molecule: ribosomal RNA, 492 nt
Filed under: uncultured bacterium
Lineage: Bacteria
Description: partial 16S ribosomal RNA
Rfam family: Bacterial small subunit ribosomal RNA
Source: RNAcentral